GUGUGUUCCAGGUAAAUCCGGUUCACUUUAACACUGAGGCGUGACGACGAGGCACUACGGUGCUGAAGCAACAAAUGCCCUGCUUCCAGGAAAAGCCUCUAAGCAUCAGGUAACAUCAAAUCGUACCCCAAACCGACACAGGUGGUCAGGUAGAGAAUACCAAGGCGCUUGAGAGAACUCGGGUGAAGGAACUAGGCAAAAUGGUGCCGUAACUUCGGGAGAAGGCACGCUGACACGUAGGUGAAGUGAUUUACUCAUGGAGCUGAAGUCAGUCGAAGAUACCAGCUGGCUGCAACUGUUUAUUAAAAACACAGCACUGUGCAAACACGAAAGUGGACGUAUACGGUGUGACGCCUGCCCGGUGCCGGAAGGUUAAUUGAUGGGGUCAGCGCAAGCGAAGCUCCUGAUCGAAGCCCCGGUAAACGGCGGCCGUAACUAUAACGGUCCUAAGGUAGCGAAAUUCCUUGUCGGGUAAGUUCCGACCUGCACGAAUGGCGUAAUGAUGGCCAGGCUGUCUCCACCCGAGACUCAGUGAAAUUGAACUCGCUGUGAAGAUGCAGUGUACCCGCGGCAAGACGGAAAGACCCCGUGAACCUUUACUAUAGCUUGACACUGAACAUUGAGCCUUGAUGUGUAGGAUAGGUGGGAGGCUUUGAAGUGUGGACGCCAGUCUGCAUGGAGCCGACCUUGAAAUACCACCCUUUAAUGUUUGAUGUUCUAACGUGGACCCGUUACCCGGGUUGCGGACAGUGUCUGGUGGGUAGUUUGACUGGGGCGGUCUCCUCCUAAAGAGUAACGGAGGAGCACGAAGGUUGGCUAAUCCUGGUCGGACAUCAGGAGGUUAGUGCAAUGGCAUAAGCCAGCUUGACUGCGAGCGUGACGGCGCGAGCAGGUGCGAAAGCAGGUCAUAGUGAUCCGGUGGUUCUGAAUGGAAGGGCCAUCGCUCAACGGAUAAAAGGUACUCCGGGGAUAACAGGCUGAUACCGCCCAAGAGUUCAUAUCGACGGCGGUGUUUGGCACCUCGAUGUCGGCUCAUCACAUCCUGGGGCUGAAGUAGGUCCCAAGGGUAUGGCUGUUCGCCAUUUAAAGUGGUACGCGAGCUGGGUUUAGAACGUCGUGAGACAGUUCGGUCCCUAUCUGCCGUGGGCGCUGGAGAACUGAGGGGGGCUGCUCCUAGUACGAGAGGACCGGAGUGGACGCAUCACUGGUGUUCGGGUUGUCAUGCCAAUGGCACUGCCCGGUAGCUAAAUGCGGAAGAGAUAAGUGCUGAAAGCAUCUAAGCACGAAACUUGCCCCGAGAUGAGUUCUCCCUGAGACUUAAAGUCUCCUGAAGGAACGUUGAAGACGACGACGUUGAUAGGCCGGGUGUGUAAGCGCAGCGAUGCGUUGAGCUAACCGGUACUAAUGAACCGUGAGGCUUAACCU
This 1425-nucleotide ribosomal RNA is filed under the name Salmonella enterica. Its description in RNAcentral is "partial 23S ribosomal RNA". It matches the Rfam family "Bacterial large subunit ribosomal RNA", at positions 1525 to 2925 of the family's 2925-position model. Lineage: Bacteria; Pseudomonadati; Pseudomonadota; Gammaproteobacteria; Enterobacterales; Enterobacteriaceae. The record is from RNAcentral.